GACGAACGCUGGCGGCAUGCCUAACACAUGCAAGUCGAACGAAACCUUCGGGUCUAUUGGCGCACGGGUGCGUAACGCGAGGGAACCUGCCCUUAGGUUCGGAAUAACUCCCAGAAAGGGGUGCUAAUACCGGAUAAUAUCUUCGGACCAAAGAUUUAUCGCCUUUGGAUGGUCCCGCGUUGGAUUAGCUGGUUGUUAGGGUAAAAGCCUAUCAAGGCGACGAUCCCUAGCUGGUCUGAGAGGAUGGUCAGCCACACUGGGACUGAGACACGGCCCAGACUCCUACGGGAUGGAGCAGUGGGGAAUAUAGGACAAUGGGCGAAAGCCUGAUCCAGCAAUGACGCGUGAGUGAUGAAGGCAUGAGGGUUGUAAAGCUCUUUUACCCGUGAUGAUAAUGACAGUACCGGGAGAAUAAGCCCCGGCUAACUCCGUG
This 433-nucleotide ribosomal RNA is filed under the name uncultured bacterium. Its description in RNAcentral is "partial 16S ribosomal RNA". It matches the Rfam family "Bacterial small subunit ribosomal RNA", at positions 28 to 507 of the family's 1533-position model. The record is from RNAcentral.